Long non-coding RNA from Pan troglodytes (chimpanzee), 2617 nucleotides. RefSeq lists it as uncharacterized. NCBI's taxonomy places the organism in Eukaryota, Metazoa, Chordata, Mammalia, Primates, Hominidae. The transcript has 3 exons. The record is from RefSeq and is a predicted model, not a curated record.
AAAGCAUUGAAACUACAAAAAUAAAGUGUUAUUUGGCUGCAAUGAGGUCUCAUGACUGUUUAUGUGGUGGCUCGCUGCUCAGGACAUGGAGGAAGAGGGUAAUCUGGAAGAGUUUCCUGACCUACUCUGCUGCUGUGAUUAAACAACCACCAGGAAAUUUUGAUGACACUGUUCUCCUGAGCUCCUCCCUUUCCUUGGGGAAGAAAAGCAUUGAAACUACAAAAAUAAAGUGUUAUUUGGCUGGAGUGAGGUCUCAUGGCUGUUUAUGCGGUGGCUCGCUGCUCAGGACAUGGAAUCAUUGGAGAUACUCAUUACUCUUUGAAGGCUUACAGUGGAAUGAAUUCAAAUACAACUUAUUUGAGGAAUUGAAGUUGACUUUAUGGAGCUGAUAAGAAUCUUCUUGGAAAAAAAAAGACUGGGUAUAUUUUCAAUAUGCUUUCCUUUUAAGGUCCCUCACCUGUGGAAAGUAAAGAAUGUCACUUUCUGACAGGCUCAGGAACCUCAAGUUAUGUAGGGAUCUCAAGAAGAUGGGGGAAUUCACCCAGUUCAUACAGGUGAAAUUGCUGUUGCGAAGAUUAUGAAUAUGAGAGAAGUCCAGCAUGGCUGACUUCAUCUCGUGUCUGGCCUCAGGCUGGCUGCCCUUGCUCACUCUUGGGCAUAGGCCAAGCUAGCCAUGGGAGGAAUUUAGUUUAUAGUUUAACUUUGAAGCACGGAUGACAAUAGUCUCUCCCUAAAAUGAACCCCUUCCUUGCUCAGGGACUGAAACUACCUUUGUAUGACAAAUGAAAGCCCACAAGAUUAAGAUUAUGAGAGGGGCCUGAAUUCUGCUAAAAUGCAGGUGUAGCUGACUGAUAACAAGUCAUUGUCCCACAGCUUGCCUUUCUAUAAUCUCUUGCUUCUCAGGAGUCACAUGGCCAGAGGUCCUGAGAUUUCCAGUCCUGUGACCCCCACCCAGAGAUGGACUUAAUGCAUGAGGACCAUUUUCCACACCCCUAUGAUUUCAUCCUCAAACAAUCAGCAGCAACCAUUCCCUAGCCCCCUGCCUGCCAAAUUAUCCAUAAAAAUCCUAGCCUCUGAGUUAUUAGGGAGAUUGAUUAAUAAUCCCAGUCCUACCCCUUGGGUUGCUCUGAUUUAAUUAAACCUUCUCUACUGCAAUACCACGGACUCAGUGAAUUGGUUUUGUCUGUGCAAUGGGCAAGAAGAACAUGUUGCAUGGUUAUACAGGUACUACAAGCACAGUCUGAUGGCAAAUUAUUGGUUUUGCUUCCUGCCCUUGAUGUUUCUAAACAUCUAGUCCAAAAUUACUUGUGAAAGGUCCAGCAAAGCCAAUUUUAAAAGAGGCUAUAUGGCCAAUCACUAUUCUUUCUACACAUUAUUGCAAACAAUCAGGCCACGGCUGGGCACGGUGGCUCAUGCCUGCAAUCCCAGCACUUUGGGAGGCUGAGGCAGGAUCACCUGAAAUCAGGAGUUCAAGACCAGCCUAGGCAACAUGAUAAAACCCUGUCUCUACUAAAAAUACAAAAUUAGCCAGGCAUGGUGGCAUGCACCUGUAAUCCCAGCUACUUGGGAGACUGAGGGAGGAGAAUCACUUGAACCUGGGAGGCAGAGAUUGCAGUGAGCUGAGAUCACACCACUGCACUCCAGCCUGGGCAAUAGAGUGAGACUUUGUCUCAAAUAAUAAUAAUAAUAAUAAGACCAAGUAUAAUGAAAUUAAAAUUUAUUUUGCAAAUAAAUUGGUCCUACUACAAUUUAUCCUUCAUAGAAAUGUGGAAACUGAAGAUAAAAAAAAUUAGGUUUCAGAAGAAAACUGUACUACACCUGUUAUUAGAUUCUAGCCCUAAACAUUGUUUUUGAGGUUUUUAUUAUUUACCUGCAAUUUGGACUAAAUUCUGAAUUAUUUCCUGACUACAAGUAUCCAAGGAAUAAAUGGGUUUUCUUUUUCUUUAUGAUAGUUUUAGUUGGCUUCUAAUGCAACAACAAUUUUUAUUGUAAUCCUGUGUGCAUUCUAUUCCUACUAUUCAAAUUAUUAAUGUUAUAGAUCUUUCAUUGUAGUACUUCUGAAUUAACCAAAAUCACAGUAUUCUGAAGAUGAUUCUACAAAGCCUGCUGUUUUCUACAAAGGCUGCUGAUGAUUUCUACAAAGCCUGCUGUAGUGUUGCUGUGGCCUCUGCUUAAAAAAGUAGAAAACACAUUGAUGCAGCAUGUUCACCCCAACCUCCCCGCCUAAAGGCUCAGGGACCAUCGCGGAAGAGGAAGGCGCGUGAGAUUGUAAGAGCCGAAUUAGGGGGAUGGAGUGAGGAGGAUAAGGACACUUCAUCUUGGAUGCUCACCUGCCAAAUUGACUUCUGAUGAAAGCCAGCUCCAGAAAUGUACCUACAGUUACUACUUUCACCUAAAACCUGCCCUUAGUCAAAUCCUUCUCUUCUUCUAAGCAAUCAACUUCAAUUCCUUAUAUAACCCACAGUAUAAAAGGGCUUUUAUACCAUUCUAUCCUAUUGCAUGUAAGCCUUGGGUCUGGGAGGUAACAGUGUGGGAUUCCACCAUCUCAUCUCCCUGCCACCCAAACAUGCCUGCUCUUCUUUAAGCAAUAUUAAAUGUUUGUACUUCAGAAAUUUGA